CAGCAGCCGCGGGAAUACGUAGGUCCCGAGCGUUGUCCGGAUUUAUUGGGCGUAAAGCGAGCGCAGGCGGUUUGAUAAGUCUGAAGUUAAAGGCUGUGGCUCAACCAUAGUUCGCUUUGGAAACUGUCAAACUUGAGUGCAGAAGGGGAGAGUGGAAUUCCAUGUGUAGCGGUGAAAUGCGUAGAUAUAUGGAGGAACACCGGUGGCGAAAGCGGCUCUCUGGUCUGUAACUGACGCCGAGGCUCGAAAGCGUGGGGAGCGAACAGGAUUAGAUACCCCCGUAGUCCCUGUCUCUUAUACC
RNAcentral lists this ribosomal RNA (301 nucleotides) under uncultured bacterium. Its description in RNAcentral is "partial 16S ribosomal RNA". It matches the Rfam family "Bacterial small subunit ribosomal RNA", at positions 509 to 808 of the family's 1533-position model. The record is from RNAcentral.